RNAcentral lists this ribosomal RNA (263 nucleotides) under uncultured archaeon. RNAcentral describes it as "partial 16S ribosomal RNA". It matches the Rfam family "Archaeal small subunit ribosomal RNA", at positions 748 to 1009 of the family's 1478-position model. The record is from RNAcentral.
CAGCCGUAAACUAUGCGCGUUAGGUGUAUCGGUGACCACGAGUCACCGAGGUGCCGAAGGGAAACCGUGAAACGUGCCGCCUGGGAAGUACGGUCGCAAGGCUGAAACUUAAAGGAAUUGGCGGGGGGAGCACCACAACGGGUGGAGCCUGCGGUUUAAUUUGGACUCAACGCCGGGAAGCUCACCGGAUAAGACAGCGGAAUGAUUGCCGGGCUGAAGACUCUGCAUGACUAGCUGAGAGGAGGUGCAUGGCGUAGACGUCU